RNAcentral lists this long non-coding RNA (3186 nucleotides) under Salmo salar (Atlantic salmon). RNAcentral describes it as "lncRNA (ENSSSAG00000097490.1)". Lineage: Eukaryota; Metazoa; Chordata; Actinopteri; Salmoniformes; Salmonidae. The record is from RNAcentral.
CUGAUGAAGAUCAUCAAAGGUUAGUGCUACAUUUAGCUGUGGUUUGGGUUUAUGUGACAUUAUAUGCUAGCUUGAAAAAUGGGUGUCUGAUUAUUUCUGGCUGGGUACUCUGCUGACAUAAUCUAAUGUUUUGCUUUCGUUGUAAAGCCUUUUUGAAAUCGGACAGUGUGGUUAGAUUAACGAGAGUCUUGUCUUUAAAAUGGUGUAAAAUAGUCAUAUGUUUGAAAAAUUGAAGUUUUUGCAUUUUUGAGGAAUUUGAAUAAUGCGCCACGGGAUUACACUGGCUGUUGAGUAGGUGGGACGCAAGCGUCCCACCUAGCACAUAGAGGUUAGGAAGGACGUCUGUAUCUUUGUAGUGACUGGUUGUAUUGAUACACCAUCCAAAGUGUCAUUAAUAACUUCACCUUGCUCAAAAGGAUCUUCAAUGUCUUUUUUAAUUUUAUUUAGGGCACAGAGAUGAGGUAGUCAUUCAAAAAUCAUGUUAAACACUUAUGGCACACAGAGUCCAUGAAACUUAUGUGACUUGUUAAGCAAAUGUUUACUCCUGAACUUACUUAGGCUUGCCAUAACAAAGGGGUUAAAUACUUAUUGACUCCAGACAUUUAAUCUUUUCAUUUUUAAUUAGUUAGUACAAAUUUAUACAAACACAACUGCAUUUUGACUUAUGGGGUUGUGUGUGUGUGUGUGUGUGUGUGUGUGUGUGUGUGUGUGUGUGUGUGUGUGUGUGUGUGUGUGUGAGCCAUUUUAACUUCAGGCUGUAACACAACAAAAUGUCUAAAUACUUUCUGAAGGCACUGUAUAUGCUGCCUAGAACAGAAGGGUUGGUUUGACCAAAGUGCUCAAUUCUAUAUGGAAAUCAACACACAUUGAAAGAGUAAUGGUAGGAAUGACACAGUUUGAGUUUAGAGACUCAGUAAGGUACAGUAGAAACACUGUAUGAAUGAGUGUAACGCAGAAGGACAUGUUUGGAGAGACAAUGUUAGGAUGACACAGUGUGAUGAUAUGAAUGAUAAAGAAAUGGUCACAGUCACACCGAAGUACCAAGGGAGCAAAACAUUUUAUAUUGACAGUUCCUCUACCAAGGGUUGUAUCUGUGGUGUGGCCAUGCCCAUGCCGACGGCAGGAUCACAUGUUAUUUUGUACUAUGACCACAAGAUGGCCCCCUUGCAUCGGAAUAUCGUUUCUUAAAAUCAAACAAAAUCAUUUCUGUGGACAGUCAUUUGUUAUGAACUACCACUGCCAGAAAUACAUUAGAUAACUUUUUAUUUUGUCCUUUUUGAAUAGAUUCAUAUUUUAACCGAUUAACAUUUUGUGUGAUAUGUCUGCUUUAGAUUUUUCUUCCCUGAAGUGGAUGUUUAACACUCAGUGAGAUCUGAAUUCAGUGGAACUGUGAUUGCAGUAGCCUAUGAAGGCAGUAGCUGCUCUUCCAUGAGUAAUGUCUGUGACUGACUAAUGUCAGAUAGACUCCCCAAGCAGAUGCUUCCAGUUUCCACUAUGAGAAGUGUUCUGCGUGUGUUGUGGGGGCAGUAGUUCGUAAACAAAGACACUGCGUAAUGUAGGGUUCGAUUGAAUUCAACUCUCUGACUUAAAUUAGUUGAAGGGAUUUGGACAGUGAUUUCCAUUGUUUAACUGAGGAUGUUGGUUCAAUUUUUUUUCUGCCUGCUUCUCCCUAGAACCACUGGUCUGAAUAUUCCAAUCUGACAGCUAUAAUCACAACAACCUGCUGCAUUAUAACUCUAUUUUCAUUUAAACAUGAUUGUAAAGUCUGAUAAAAGAUAUCGUUGAUGCAUGGUACUGUGUUGAUUUCAUCCAACAUUUCGUAGAGUGUUCUGGUGUAUCGCAAAAGGAAGCUUCUCAGUUAGAGAAAAUCAACUUUAAAAAUGUAUCCAUCCAUAAACAUUUCAACAUCCUGUACACCUGUGUUAGUAUGAAUGACCUGGGACGGGGUGUUCUACUUAGGUCUGGAUUUACCACUUUCUCACCAUCUUCUGAGCAGAAGAAAGAAGAAAACUAUCAAGAAUGAUAAGUCAUUCACCAGAUUUUCUUAUAAUAAUUUUAGGAAAGGAAUACACACACUUCAGACAUAACACAGGCCUUUCCACCUGUGGUGUUCCCUUACAUGUCUCCCUCUCUCCUUUUGCCUUCUCAUUUGAAGAUCAAUCAAACUGCAAGAAGGAUUUGAUGCUCCAGCCUCUGGAUCUACCUUGGUGUGCAAAUCAGCUGGAAUCAGUUAAAAGAGAAACAUGUUGCUUCUGUGGCUGUGGUGGACAAGAGAGAAUACAGUACAGAUGCUCUAAAGUUCAUUAAAUAUUUACACCACUCAUUCAUUAGCAAGCAAUUCAUGUUAUAUAUCGCAUGCAAUAAGUUGUGGAAGGAAAAACAACGUGUCGGCUGUCUGUAGUUUCUGCCCCUGCCUAAGACGAGGAGACUGAAUGACAUAUCUAUGAAAUAUGUGUGCACAUGGAAUACAUGAAUAUAUUGAUAUGUGGAUAGGUGAAAUAUUAUACUUACCACUUUGUCAUUACUGAUGUGUAAUUACUGGGUUGUUCGUGUUGUUAUAGAUGAAAAUUAAAUGUAUUUUCAAUGCCCUUUGGAAACACCAAACCCCAAAGAAUACGGAUGCAUGUGCAUACCUCUUAUCCUCAUGCACAGUCCUAGGUGAACAGUGAUUGAUUUGUCCAAUUUGGUUAGAAGCGUGUCUCCAUGCUUUGAAGCCACGCUUAGCAUUCAUUCUAAUCAUGUGUCCUGACACGUUGAAAUGCAACAUCUGCCUUUUCAGUCCCCCGCCAUACAAUUAGCAAGAAAAGAUCAAUGGAUUGGCUUGCUACCAUUUUGCAUAUGAACAACAAAGCAUUUGUAAUGAGUAUAGAUGGUGCUUCAGUUUACCUGAUAUCCUUGGUUUACAAACUGAACUUCUCAAAAUAACUUGUUUGAAACAGUCAAUGAGCCCCCAUAACAUUGGGGGUCAAGAAAUGUACCUAAUCAGGACAUUUUGGGGACCCCAAGAUCAUCUCCAGUAUGAUAUUGUCCACAAGCCGGCAAUCCAGUCUUUUUUUUCUAUACAGUAUACACUCCCAUACGUGUUUAUUUGGACAGUGAAGCGAAAACUUUUAAUUUGUCUCUAUACUCCAGCAUUUUGGAUUUGAGAUCAAAUGUUUCAUAUGAGGCGACGGUACAGAAUGUCAC